AACCCUAAAUCUUUUCUCUCAUCUGAGACCAAAACCAUUUCCUUAUCUAUAUCUGCAUCUACCAUAGCCAUGGUGGAUGUUGAAUAAUCAGCUCCAACAAUAUAGUUUCUCAUUGUUAGCAACCAUAAGGCAGAAACUCCAAUUUAUAUGUUUGUCGUUGUAACUUGCCUUCAAUUGAUAUGUUACAAUGUUGUCCGAAUAAGUCAUGUUAACUGGAAAAUGGGAAAAUAUGACAUUCAUGAAGAUGCAAAAAAGUGAAUUUUUCAAUCAAUUCAAAAUGCUUGGAGAAAGCAUAAAAAUCAGUUAAAGAAAGACCAUUUUGAACCCUAUGAGAAUGACGAGCUUAGAAUGGGGAAUGAAUCCAGGAUUACGGGUUGAUCCUAACAUGCUAGCUUUCAAUGCUCGUUCACCUGGAGAAGCUUCCUUUGCACAAAAAGCAGCUAUACAACUAAUCAAUCGUCUAUAUCUAUAGGGACUAACAAUCAAGAUAUGAAACCAACUUCAUAGAGAAGGGAGAAUUUCUACAAGGACUUGCCACUUGCCAGCCAGCUGCUUCUGAUAUAUUGGCAACGCUACAAGUGCCAAUUAGCAAACUAAUGAGCUGAUAGACAAAGACAAUCUGAUGAUUCUGAAUUUGAAGUUUAGUGUUGAGUUAAGCAGCUAGGGCAAGGAUUAUAUAUACAAGUGAAUCAAGAUUGGAUCUACUCAAACAGCCUAAGGAGCAGCCCGGUGCACUAAGGUCCCGCUAUGGGCAAGGUCCGGGGAAGGGCCAGAUCCCAAGGGUCUAUUGUACGCAGCCUUACCCUGCAUUUCUACAAGAGGCAGUCUCCACGGCUUGAACCCGUGAAACAGGAGGUCGCGUGUUCGAGCCAUGGAAACAACCUCUUGCAGAAAUGCAGGGUAAGGCUACGUACAAUAAAACCUUGUGGUCCGGCCCUUCCACGAACCCUGCACAUAGCGGGAGUGCUGCUCCUUUACCUUCUUCUUUCUUAUCAUCCCAGUGGAACAAACUUACUGAUCCAAUUCCUGUGGAGUUAGUAAAAGAAGUUAGAUGACUGAGGCUAAUCUGGUUUGCCUUCCAAAUAUGCUGUCUUUCCUGAUGCUAAUUUCGUCUUCCUUUAUCCGGGCUUUCCUAGUAGCAAUAAGUGAUCAAAUGUUCAAGAUGUCAUAUUUAUAUAACGAGCCUUCUAUAAUUGCCCGUUUCAAGGUAUGCAACCUCUAUAUGAUUGAAACUU
This is a non-coding RNA of Nicotiana tabacum (common tobacco), 1235 nucleotides long. NCBI's taxonomy places the organism in Eukaryota, Viridiplantae, Streptophyta, Magnoliopsida, Solanales, Solanaceae. The record is from RefSeq and is a predicted model, not a curated record.